GUACUUUCCAUCUUGAAAGCAUUGGAUGAUUCCUGUUGUUGGGGCUCUGACUUGAGAGGAAAAGCUUAGGGAGUUUGACAGAGUUCCAGGAAGGCUUCCUGUAAGAGGUGGCAUGAUGGUACUGUUAAUAAUUAUAACCAUUUGCUGUAUCACAUGUACCACAUGCCAGUCACUGUGUUACCUACAUACAUCAGCGAUGCCACUUCUUGCCAAGUCAUCCUUACAUCUCCUUGUGUGUGGAGUCCAGUUCUACUCACAGACAGCUCUUGCUAAAGAGCCGAGCAAGGAGUAACUGUGCAGCAGAUCUUUCACUUUAGGGCACAGUACCGACCCAAGGCCAGUCCCACUAUCUGUGAGUGAGUGGCCCAGCUUUAGUAGAUGAGGUGGACCAAUCCGAUCAGCUCUCCUUGGGAAUGUGAAAUAAGAGAUGCAGAGGGAUGUUGCCAGUUAGUUGUGGGGAGCUAAGCUGAGAGGUCCAGUACACCAAGAUGCUGGUUGGGUUGGGAGUGCUAUGGACUAGGUCAAGUGCCUGUUGAACAGCUAAAUGUAGUUGGCCAAGCAAGGACAUGGGGCAGUUGUGCAGAGAGAAGCAGGCUUGUGACGUGGAUGAGCCAUAUGAACGACAGACCUCUAGAGCAGAGAGGUUCAUGCUACAGCUAGACAUUUCCUCAAGCUCCAGGUACAAUGAGCUCUAUUUGAAUUCCUACCCUUGGAUUUCUGCUUCCUGAUCUUGCUUCAUUUGGUUUCUGUUUCUUGCAUCCAAAAGAGGCCCAACCCAAGCAACCCUUUCCAUAGAUUCCAUUUAAUUUGUGCUUCAUCCCCUCAGAGUACAGCCUUGUCAGCGCUGAGGCCCAGUGCAAAUUAAAUGACAACUGAUUGGCAUGAGUUGAUUAAAAUCUUCACUGGCCUGUUUGCUUAGAUCAUUCACUUCUUGUACAAUUAGAAGGAAUUUGCACUCUGAUGCCAAGUGGACUGUUCUAAGCAUCUGAGUUAGGAAAAUGGGGUUGGGGUUGUAGUGCUGAACCACCACACCUGACAUUACUGUUUGGGAAGGUCACCAGCCUUCUCAUACUGAAGGGGAAGAGCCAAGCCUUUGUUGAAAUAUACAUGCAAGAGGUUGCUGACACCACACGUAUCAGUGCCAUGCUGCCAGUCCAACUAUGUCUAGUUCUUCAAGCACAAGGUGCUCAAGACCAAUAGCUCCCCACACAAGGUGCAUGCCAAUCGGGUAAUCUUACAGGUGGUGAAGUCAGUACAUUUGAGAAACCUGGUCUUCAUGGGCUCCAGUGGCCCACAUACACCAAGAUGGUGAUGGUUGACCAGAACACCGAACUCAGGAUCAUCAUGGGAAAAUCUCUGCUACUCAGUGAUCCUGGAUGCUCUGCACCAGGCCUUCUUCAAGUGUGGCACUGUCCUCAGUAUCAUCAUCUUCACUAAGACCAACCAUUUCCAGGCAUACUAUCAGCAGCAGUUGCAACUGCAUCAUCAUUUCAAGUCUGAAGGUGUCAGGGAUUCCAUCUUGCUGGCUGGCAACCUGAACACAAGAAAGCACAGAGCCAAGCCCCUUUAUUCUCUUCAGUAUCUAUGGUUAUGUGAAGCAGGUGAAGAUCUUGUUCAACAAGGCGAAGACAGCAGGUAGGCCCAGCUGGCCAUGAGGCACCCAAACAAACUAUAUGGGGAGCCAAUGCAUAUUACAACAUCAAAGCACCAGAGUGUGCAGCUGCCUUGUGAGGGGCAGGAAGACUGGCUUCACCAAAGACGCUGAUAGCUCACCAGUGCACUGCUUCAAGAAGCUGGGCCCCAAGUUCUUUAAGAAUUUCUUCCUGUUCUCAGCCAUCCGGCAACUCAUCAACAUCCCUUCCUCAGUGUCAGAGCAGUUCCUCAAGAACUUCUCAAGCAACAAGGGCAUGACCAAGGGCUUCAAAUUCUUUCAGGGACUGCAGCCCUGAAUUCAUGCUCUCUGUCCCAUCCAUCAUCCCUACUAGAAGAACUACAUGAUGGUUCUGAUCCAGAUAAGUUUGUUGGAGGAAGAAGUGCAGGCACCCAUUAAGCUGCAAAUCCACGACCAAAGCAUCCCUGAACAAAAAGAAUAAUGCUGGUGGGAUUGUUACUCCAGAAUUCAGGAUAUAUUAUAGAUCUCUAGUAAUGAAAAUAUGGCACUGACAUCAAAGAGACAUGUAUGCCAAUGGGACAAAAUAGAAGACCCAAACAUGAGUACUUGUAACUGCAGCCAUCUGCUAUUUGAUAAAGAGGCAAAAAACAUACCCUGGAGAAAAGACAGAGCAUCUUCAACAAGUGGUGGGUAAAGCUGAAGACUGUAUGGCGACAUGCAGAUGAAUGGAUCGGACUCAUACCUGUCCAAUCAUACCCAACAUUAGAUCCAAGUGUACCAAUGACUUCAAUUUGAAACCUGCAACAUUAAAGCUGCUGGAAGUAAACAUAUGCAGUUUCCUUCAAGAGAUAAAUGAAGGGAAGGACCUUCUCAACAGGACCACAUUUGUUCAGGAAUUAAGGUCAGCAAUUGACAACAGGGACCUCAUAAAACUGAAGAGCUUUUGUGCAGCUAAGGAAAUAAUCAAGUGAAGAGGAAGCCUACAGAAUGGGAGAGGGUCAUUGCCAGCUACACAUCUGUUAGAGGGCUAAUAUCUACAAUAUAUGAGGAACUCAAAGAACAAAGAGUCAAGGAAACAAACAGCCCAAUUAAAAAGUGGGCUGGGGAUGUAGACAAUUUCAACAGAAGAAAUAGAAAGGGCUAAGAAAUACCUCAGAAAAAGUGUCCAACUUCCUUAGCAAUUAGGGUAAUGUAAACUAACCCAACGUUGACAAUUCUUAACGAGACUACUGACAACAAAUGCUGCUGCAGAUAUGUCAGCGGGAAUGUCAACUGGCACAGCCACUCUGAAAGUCCAUAUGGAGGAUCCUCAAAAAGCUAAAAAUAGCUCUACAAAAUAACCCAGCUCUACCCUUCGGCAUAUGCCCAAGGGGUAUCCUCCUCUACAGAUUCUUACCUGACUCUGUUCACUGUUGCUCUAUAGCUAGGAAAUGGAAACAAAUGAGAUGUCUGACAACUGACAAUUGAAUAAUGAAGAAGGUCUAAGAAUCCAGUAGUUAUUCAGUGCCAGAGGCUGGAUAUCUCAGCCGAUCUUCAGAAUAUGUCAGAGCCCUGGCAAAGUAGGCUCUAAUGCUCGUAAAGGGAUGGACUUGCUAACAAGGCGAGAGCAAGCACGCAAGGAAAGAGCAAGCUGCCUUCUUCGAUGUCCUUCCUAUAGGCUUCCAACAGAAGGUGUGGCCCAGGUUAAAGGUAGAUCUUUCCCAUCUCUAAGGAUCAGGAUUAAAAGUGAUCCUUCUCACUUCAGAUUAUUUAAUUAAAAAGGACCUCACAGGGAUAACCACUUGAGUUUAAUUAAUCCCAAAAGUAGUCAAGUUGACAGUCAAGAAUAGCCAUCACAGAAACCAGAGGUGGAGCUGGGUGGCUGGGUGUUGGACUUGACACAGGAAUAACAAGCAGUACACAGGUGAUAUGGAGUAGGAAAUAGCAAAAAAUAGGGAAGGGGUCCAACUUGGGAGGAGAGAGGGAGGUCAAUACAGACAGAGAAGGGAUGUGGGACAGAUAAAACUAAUAUUAUUUGAUAAAGCCCCAGAGAAUCAUUUUAUAUUUACCUAAGAUUAUAUACAAUAGAAGAACAAGUGUAUGUGUAUAAUGGAUUGUGUGUGUGUGUGUGUGUGUGUGUGUGUGUGUGUGUGUGUGUAUGUACUGACAAUGUUCCCCACAAGAAUCAUAGAUUAAAAGGUAGCCCAGUACCAAGCCUGGUUCAAAUGGCUAAGGUAGUCCAAGUGAUUCUGAGUAUAGAUGUAGCCCUUGGUUGCCUGUCAGCGGUGGAGGAUAGACCCCGUUGCUGAAUAGACCAAACACUUAGGAUAUACAAUCUUGAGCUGGAUGUGACCUAAAAACCUCUUUUCUGUGGUCUAGCUUCCACUGUUUCAGAAAAUACUAUGGAAGCUGUCAAGGGAGGAAAAUACUUAAACAGUCCUACCCAGUCUUACCUAUGAACCAGAACAAUUGCCAUCACGGUAAGACUGUAGGUAGAAUAAGUGACAAUAACAUGUUGGCAACCAAGAGCUCUGUCAUAGACUUAAAGCCCACCCACUAGGAGGGAAGUAAUGCCUGGUACUUGAAUCCUAGUCAACUUCAUGGGGCUAGUGAGGUUAUGGACUGCAGAAAAGAGUGCACUGCUGCCACUUUGCUAGACCAGCAUAAUUCCUAAUACAUUUUAAAUCUUAUCCUUAUACCCAGAGAUAAUGUAACUACCACCAGGAAGCCUGUCUCUACUGCAAAUGGAAACCAUCACAGGAAACCACAACUGGGCACACUGCACAGACUGGCAGAUUGGGGGAGCUCAGGCCCACGGACACGUAAAGCUCAGCUCUAUGGCCCAGGAAACACUGAGGAAGAGAGUGGAAAGAUUGUAAGAGCAAGAAUACCUGGAAGCCUGCGAAGUUUCUUCCAGAAAUGGCUGUAUAAAUAAAACCAGAACAAUGCCAAUGUCAAUGGAAAUUUUGACAUAGGAGAGCAAAAUUUUCACUGGACAGAGAACUCUAGGCAACCAAUGAGUCCUGGGAGAAUUAGCCUCUCCCAAGGAUAAGCCCAAAUACUGGUUGUCUGAUGCAGAGUGAUCAGACUAGAGACCAUUUAUACUCAAACAACAAAAGUGGACUCAGUAGCUUGGAUGUAUACACACAUAUACAUAGAUAUGCAUGUAACAAUAAUAACAGAACAAGCCCAUCAACCUGAGAGUAAGGGCUGGAUAGGUAGAGGCUGGAGGGAGGGAAGGCAGAGAGAGAAGCAAGGUGUAAUUCUGCUUUAAUUAAAAACUUAUCAACUGAAA
This 4886-nucleotide small RNA is filed under the name Rattus norvegicus (Norway rat). Its description in RNAcentral is "uncharacterized LOC103690810". Lineage: Eukaryota; Metazoa; Chordata; Mammalia; Rodentia; Muridae. The record is from RNAcentral.